Oncorhynchus tshawytscha (Chinook salmon) is the source of this 1954-nucleotide long non-coding RNA. NCBI's taxonomy places the organism in Eukaryota, Metazoa, Chordata, Actinopteri, Salmoniformes, Salmonidae. The record is from Ensembl.
CUGUUUAUUAUAUAUACUGAUUGCCUACAUACUUCUACCCCUACCUACAUGUACAUAUUGUAUUACAUCAAUUACCUCAUCAAAUCGAAUGACAAUUUAUUGGUCACUUACGCCGAAUACAACAGGUGUAGACAUUACAGUGAAAUGUUUACUUACGAGCCUGUUUCCAACAAUGCAGCGUUAAAAAGUAAGACAAAUAUCUGCUAAAUACAAGAGGAAAUAGUAACACAAUAAAAACAAUAAUGAGGUUUAAUACUGUUGGUCAAAUUCUUCAACAGAUUAUCAAAUUCUCAAACUUAUACAUUAGUAGUAGAAAGGAAACACAGAGUUUUUAAGUAUAAAAAUUCUCCUUUAGUAAUACAAUUGUAGGCUGAAGCUGGUACAGAGUACAGUAUAUGAUAGCUUUCCCCGGGUUCUGCAAGGUGUCUAAGACAUCCUGCAACUUAUAUAGCCUCCCCAUUGACAUUUCACAACAGAUAAGUCUAAGCAUCUUCUGGCAGGUGGAGGUUUCCAUCAGGCCUGCAGUGGCCUUGUGUUCUCAGAAAACCAGUCGUAUUCUCAGAGCGUCAGACAGCCAUGGUGGGGCCCAGACAGGAGGAGUAUGAGCGUAGGUGGUUUCCAUCAGGCCUGCAGUGGCCUUGUGUUCUCAGAAAACCAGUCGUAUUCUCAGAGCCUCAGACAGCCAUGGUGGGGCCCAGACAGGAGGAGUGUGAGCGUAGGUGGUUUCCAUCAGGCCUGCAGUGGCCUUGUGUUCUCAGAGCCUCAGACAGCCAUGGUGGGGCCCAGACAGGAGGAGUGUGAGCGUAGGUGGUUUCCAUCAGGCCUGCAGUGGCCUUGUGUUCUCAGAAAACCAGCCUCAGACAGCCAUGGUGGGGCCCAGACAGGAGGAGUAUGAGCGUAGGCAGUUUCCAUCAGGCCUGCAGUGGCCUUGUGUUCUCAGAGCGUCAGACAUCCAUGGUGGGGCCCAGACAGGAGGAGUGUGAGCGUAGGCGGUUUCCAUCAGGCCUGCAGUGGCCUUGUGUUCUCAGAAAACCAGUCGUCUUCUCAGAACCUCAGACAGCCAUGGUGGGGCCCAGACAGGAGGAGUAUGAGCGUAGGUGGUUUCCGCCUUCUGAUAUUGUCUGAAGGGCACAACACUCAAAACAGGUGUUAACACACACACAGAGGUCUCCUAAGAGAAGACCCUACAGUUUGUCAUCACACAAUUUAUUAACCCUUUAAAAGGUAUGAGGCCUUUGUUUAUCCCAGUCAUUCCCUCCUUUGAGGCCACCAGGCCUCAACAAAUGCAAAGUAACUCAAGCAUAGUGAUUAUAAGAAUCAUCCAUAAAAUGUGCUUUAGACUGUAAGCAAUCCUCAGGAGAUUGAGGAUAGAAAUAACGGUCUUGGUGUGCACUCUUAUCUGUUAUGGUGGUUGUGACGUCUUCUGGUAGUGCAAUAGGUGGUGCCACCCCUGAUGCUCCUAGACCUUCACCGCUCUAGGUGUUUCUGCGAUGGCCUGGUAGGAACCUAUCCAUCUGGGGUGCUUCCACUUCCUUUUGUGGACCUUCUGCUUGAUCCAUUCUUCACCGUCAACAGGUAGGCUGUAUUGGUCACCCUGAUCUGGAACUUCCUGGGCUUUCCUGUAUUGGGAACACAAAUACAUAACAGCAUGAGUUAGUUCCUUCAUAUAUUUGCUCAAAUCAUCAUCCAGUGCAGUCAGGUCAGUGGUCUGUGUAAAGGAACGCUCAUUGGAUUGCCAGUUAAGAGCUCAUGUGGGCUAAGCCCUGUUACGCGGUUUACACUAUUGUGCAUUUUCAUCAAGACUAAGGGGGACACUCUACCCAUGACUUCCCUGUGGAGUGACAUGCUUUGGCAAGCCCCCUUUUAUGGUUUGGUUAGCUCUUUCAGUAAUCCCAUUACUUUGUGGGUGUUAGAUACAAACAAACUUCUGAUCUAUCCCCAAUUGGGCAGCCAC